Molecule: non-coding RNA, 79 nt
Filed under: unclassified sequences
Description: DUF3800-VIII RNA
Rfam family: DUF3800-VIII RNA
About the family: Bacteroidetes, Cyanobacteria, Firmicutes, Planctomycetes (1 example), Proteobacteria, Tenericutes (1 example). Nearby to DUF3800
Source: Rfam by way of RNAcentral
UAAGCCCUGCAAGUUGCGAAGUCUCAAGUUCCACUUGGGAUACGAAUUUUAAAAAAUUUCAUAUCAACUGCAGGACUAU